UAGGGAAUCUUCCGCAAUGGACGAAAGUCUGACGGAGCAACGCCGCGUGAGCGAAGAAGGUCUUCGGAUUGUAAAGCUCUGUUGUUAGGGAAGAACAAGUGCUGUUCGAAGAGGGCGGCACCGUGACGGUACCUAACGAGAAAGCCACGGCUAACUACGUGCCAGCAGCCGCGGUAAUACGUAGGUGGCAAGCGUUGUCCGGAAUUAUUGGGCGUAAAGCGCGCGCAGGCGGUCCUUUAAGUCUGAUGUGAAAGCCCACGGCUCAACCGUGGAGGGUCAUUGGAAACUGGGGGACUUGAGUGCAGAAGAGGGGAGCGGAAUUCCACGUGUAGCGGUGAAAUGCGUAGAGAUGUGGAGGAACACCAGUGGCGAAGGCGGCUCUCUGGUCUGUAACUGACGCUGAGGCGCGAAAGCGUGGGGAGCAAACAGGAUUAGAUACCCUGGUAGUCCACGCCGUAAACGAUGAGUGCUAAGUGUUAGAGGGGUUAAUCCCUUUAGUGCUGUAGCUAACGCAUAAGCACUCCGCC
This 527-nucleotide ribosomal RNA is filed under the name uncultured Bacillota bacterium. RNAcentral describes it as "SSU rRNA". It matches the Rfam family "Bacterial small subunit ribosomal RNA", at positions 355 to 873 of the family's 1533-position model. The record is from RNAcentral. Lineage: Bacteria; Bacillati; Bacillota.